This 253-nucleotide ribosomal RNA is filed under the name uncultured bacterium. Its description in RNAcentral is "partial 16S ribosomal RNA". It matches the Rfam family "Bacterial small subunit ribosomal RNA", at positions 524 to 776 of the family's 1533-position model. The record is from RNAcentral.
CACGGAGGGUGCAAGCGUUAUCCGGAUUCACUGGGUUUAAAGGGUGCGUAGGUGGGCAAGUAAGUCAGUGGUGAAAUCUCCGGGCUUAACCCGGAAACUGCCAUUGAUACUAUUUGUCUUGAAUACUGUGGAGGUCAGCGGAAUAUGUCAUGUAGCGGUGAAAUGCUUAGAUAUGACAUAGAACACCAAUUGCGAAGGCAGCUGGCUACACAAAUAUUGACACUGAGGCACGAAAGCGUGGGGAGCAAACAGG